This 484-nucleotide ribosomal RNA is filed under the name uncultured bacterium. RNAcentral describes it as "partial 16S ribosomal RNA". It matches the Rfam family "Bacterial small subunit ribosomal RNA", at positions 30 to 507 of the family's 1533-position model. The record is from RNAcentral.
AUUGAACGCUGGCGGAAUGCUUUACACAUGCAAGUCGAGCGGCAGCACGGGGGCAACCCUGGUGGCGAGCGACGAACGGGUGAGUAAUACAUCGGAACAUGCCCAGUCGUGGGGGAUAACACUUCGAAAGAAGUGCUAAUACCGCAUACGUCCUGAGGGAGAAAGCGGGGGAUCGCAAGACCUCGCGCGAUUGGAGUGGCCGAUGUCAGAUUAGCUAGUUGGUGGGGUAAAGGCCUACCAAGGCAACGAUCUGUAGCUGGUCUGAGAGGAUGAUCAGCCACACUGGGACUGAGACACGGCCCAGACUCCUACGGGAGGCAGCAGUGGGGAAUUUUGGACAAAGGGGGCAACCCUGAUCCAGCCAUUCCGCGUGAGUGAAGAAGGCCUUCGGGUUGUAAAGCUCUUUCGGCAGGAACGAAACGGCGAGCUCUAACAUAGCUUGCUAAUGACGGUACCUGAAGAAGAAGCACCGGCUAACUACGUG